AAAAGCUUUAUUCUAGCUUUUUAGCUUGGUUUAUAGUUAUAUUACAUGCGAGGUUUUAUUUAGACAUCAUUUUGUGCAGUAAUUAGGUUUAUUUAUUAAGGAGAUUUAGAAUUAGGCAUCUAUAAUUACACAGACUAAUCUUGUGCCAGCAGUUGCGGUUAGACAUGAUGUGUUUCUAAUUUUUUUUUGGUUGAUAAUUAUCUUUUUGGUUUUUUAGGAUUUUAUUUAUAUAAGGUGAAAUUUUAUAGGUGGAUUAUAUUUGUUUUCAUGAGAGAGGUUAUGAAAUUUUAGAUUUAAACUAGGAUUAGAUACCCUAUUAUUUAAAAUGUUAAUUUGUUGACUCCAGAGUAGUAUUAGAAGUGCUUGAAAUUUAAAGGAUUUGGCGGUGUUUUAGUCCAUUCAGAGGAACCUGUCCUGUAAUUGAUAAUCCACGAUUAAUUUUACUUUAUUUUUUAGUUUGUAUACCGUCGUUAUUUGAAUAUCUUUUUAGGGAUUAAUGUUCAAGAUUUAGGAUAAUAAAAUAAAUCAGAUCAAGGUGCAGUUUAUAGUGAAGUAGAGAUGGGUUACAUUAAAUUUAUUUAUGGUUUAUAUUAUGAGAUUUAUAUAUUAAAUUGGAUUUGAGGGUAAAUUAAAUAAUUUAAUUUAUUUGAUUUUGGCUCUAUAACAUGUACAUAUCGCCCGUCGCUCCAGCCCUAAGGCUGGAUAAGUCGUAACAUAGUAGGUGUACCGGAAGGUGUACCUGGAAAGG
Molecule: non-coding RNA, 748 nt
Filed under: Odontolabis cuvera fallaciosa
Lineage: Eukaryota; Metazoa; Arthropoda; Insecta; Coleoptera; Lucanidae
Source: RNAcentral